AGUCAUCUCACUGGUCCUCUACCUAAGGCAACAGUUGAUUCCUACUCCACACUUCACUGCAACAAAGUGAACAAACUAACUAGGAUGCAGUUUGUAGGACUUCAAUGCAAACCAAAAAACCACUCAUUUUUCAUUUUUCACGGAUCAGCCAAGCCUUUAGUUGAACGGGAUGCUUCGGUCUUGAUCCUUGAAGUUGCCUAGUAAACCAAAAUCGGAAAAUCCUAUAGAAAAAAAAAAUGUCAUGGGAAAUUAAAAUUUUUCUACUGUUCCUUUCCUUUCCUUCUUAUCCAUUCUAACAGUCUAAUUUAGCGUUAUUCCAUAAAAUGGUUUUCCAAAUUUUUAAAAGUACUUCUGCUGGCGGAUUUUAAUUCCAUUUCAUUAAUUAAAACUUAAAACGAUUCUCUAAAGAUAACGUAAAGAAAUAAAAACCCAAUUGUUAAUGAAGUCCAGACCAUGUUUGACCAAAUUUAUAAUAAAAUGGUAAUACGUUGGCUGUGUGAUACAAAUUAACAUACGAUCAAUAUUCUCCAUUCAUACGAUUCGCGCACAAUCACACUGACAAAGAAAAUUUAUGACACAAUAGUAUGAUGAUUAUCAACAAAAUGUGAAAUAAGCGGGUUCCUUUUUUUUUCUUUUAUGUCUUUUUUUGAAUUCAUUUCCCAAUCAAUCUUCCAUUCGAGAGGAGUCGGCCACGGCUUCGGGAACCACUUGAUCGACGACAGAGAGUUCGGGCCUCACGAAACCCACGCCAGUUACUUCCGGUUUGCUUUUCACUUGAUCCACUUUGGCCGUGCGCAAAACUGCCGAGAACCAAGGGUGGAGCAGAAUGUCGCCGGCCUCCAGUCGCUGGCAAGGAUCGCGACGGAGCAGGUGGCGGAUGAGACACCUGGCC
Daphnia pulex (common water flea) is the source of this 892-nucleotide long non-coding RNA. RefSeq lists it as uncharacterized. The transcript is spliced from 2 exons. NCBI's taxonomy places the organism in Eukaryota, Metazoa, Arthropoda, Branchiopoda, Diplostraca, Daphniidae. The record is from RefSeq and is a predicted model, not a curated record.